GCGGGGCUGCGGGGCUCGUUAGGAGACAAUUCCCCGGGGCCUUAUCGAUCCUUAAGGGAGCUGUACCUGACCUUGCCCGUGGGCUUGGACAUACGGCGCCCACCUACGCUGUAGGUUUCCCGGGAUCGACCUCCGACGGCUUUUGCGGCUCCGCU
This 155-nucleotide non-coding RNA is filed under the name Azorhizobium sp. 32-67-21. Its description in RNAcentral is "6S RNA". It matches the Rfam family "6S / SsrS RNA". From Rfam's summary of the family: E. coli 6S RNA was the first non coding RNA to be sequenced, but its function was unknown until recently. Lineage: Bacteria; Pseudomonadati; Pseudomonadota; Alphaproteobacteria; Hyphomicrobiales; Xanthobacteraceae. RNAcentral also lists the same sequence under 3 other names. The record is from RNAcentral.